Molecule: long non-coding RNA, 1546 nt
Organism: Triticum aestivum (bread wheat)
Lineage: Eukaryota; Viridiplantae; Streptophyta; Magnoliopsida; Poales; Poaceae
Exons: 3
Source: RefSeq, a predicted model, not a curated record
UCCGUGGCUGGAUUCCCUCUGGUGGGCACUCCGUCCUCAGCCAUGGGAUGCACGCCACUGCUGCUCAUCCCGACUGGGCGGAGGCUCCCUUUUCCUGCAGGUGCUGCCCCGCUGAUUUAGUGCUCAGAAAAUUUUGUUGGCUGUUGAUUUGCUGCCAAGGACGGCAAACUCGACUAUGGCGACGCCAUCUGUGGACUUCAAGGUGCCUAAUUGAUGUUUGGCGUUCCCUCUUCUAAUAACGUUCGUGACGUUCCACUUCCUCUCCCCACAAUCUCGAGAGAAACUGAUGGAUUUUUGCCCUAUAAAGUCUACUACACCUAAGUACCUCACCUCAUUUUGUAUCAUCGUCCUCCAGUACGGGUGGGUCUCUCCCAGAAUUCUCAUACUGCAGCCGGUUGUGCGUGCUUGACGACACCCCGGUAGCUAUCUUCGUUUGUCUUCCCUCACUGCAUACACAAACGAAUUCGAUUUCUACCUCCUACUGGUACAUAUUAUUUCUUAUUUUCAUACCAAUUUUGCUGAGCUUCCAUUGUAACCCAGAAAUGUUAUCAUCAGGGACACCUUUUAUUUCAUGCAAAUAUUAUAAACCAGACACAUGACUUAAAAUUUCCUAUAAAUAUUACCUAAUUUAUGCAGCUCAAACUGUGCCAGUGUUUUAAAAAUGUCAGACCAUUUUUGGUUGAAGGCCUGGGCACUCUGCCUCCGAAUAAGUGGUGCCUACAUGAUGAAAUUUUUUGCUUGGCCAAACUAGCCUUGUGGGUGAACGUUUCGUUCUUGACCUUGCUUGCUGCUAUGUCGUUCAGUGAGGCCAAUCAACGUAUUUACAUUUUCUUUCCAAGUAAGCCAUCCAAACAAUCACCACGCCCAAAUCUUACAUGCAUGUGCUAUAUUAAUACAUACAGUAACUGCUUAAUUUACUGGUGAUUAGAAUCACAAUAUAAAUACCAUUUAUGACUUUCUAUACAGUCACUGCUAUUUUUUUAAUACCAUUCACUGCUAAAUUAGUUUUUUUUGCGGGGCACUGCUAAAUUAGUUGUGUAUUAAUAAUUCUUAAAACAACAUCGCUUGGUUACAAUUUUUUUUUCUGCCCCACAUCUAUAUAUAACAGCACCCGUAGCAUUCUAUCUGUAGAAGUUCAUCUUCCCUACACCUAAAUAUUGACUUUUACAAACUACAUGGACAACCAGCAGGAAGGCAACAGGUACAACUAUUACAUACAAAGUAGUUUUCUCGGUUCCUCCUACGAAAUUAACACCAUGCAUACCUAUUUUCCUAUAGUAUGCGAUCUCAUGCACCAAGAAAAGUUUUGCCACCUUCAUCAACGCAACAAACAAGAGAAAGACACAAAGACUACAUAGCGGCUGUUACAAAGAUGAAGAAUGCUACAAAAACGCCAACAACCAGCAUAUCAUUUCUUUUUUCUUUUUCUUUUGCGAGUAACCAGCAUCUCAUUUCAACACGACACCACAAAGGAUCAUCCAUCCAGGGCUGGAAAUACAUCUUUGAGUACAUCAAGAAAGGAAUCCCAGAUGUACAAUUCGUUCAC